Molecule: ribosomal RNA, 492 nt
Filed under: uncultured bacterium
Lineage: Bacteria
Description: partial 16S ribosomal RNA
Rfam family: Bacterial small subunit ribosomal RNA
Source: RNAcentral
AGUGAACGCUGGCGGUGGGCCUAACACAUGCAAGUCGAACGGCAGCACAGUAAGAGCUUGCUCUUACGGGUGGCGAGUGGCGGACGGGUGAGGAAUACAUCGGAAUCUACUUUUUCGUGGGGGAUAACGUAGGGAAACUUACGCUAAUACCGCAUACGACCUACGGGUGAAAGCAGGGGAUCUUCGGACCUUGCGCGAUUGAAUGAGCCGAUGUCGGAUUAGCUAGUUGGCGGGGUAAAGGCCCACCAAGGCGACGAUCCGUAGCUGGUCUGAGAGGAUGAUAAGCCACACUGGAACUGAGACACGGUCCAGACUCCUACGGGAGGCAGCAUUGGGGAAUAUGGGACAAUGGGCGCAAGCCUGAUCCAGCCAUACCGCGUGGGUGAAGAAGGCCUUCGGGUUGUAAAGCCCUUUUGUUGGGAAAGAAAAGCAGCAGGUUAAUACCCCGCUGUUCUGACGGUACCCAAAGAAUAAGCACCGGCUAACUUCGUG